This 614-nucleotide ribosomal RNA is filed under the name Micridium vittatum. RNAcentral describes it as "SSU rRNA". It matches the Rfam family "Eukaryotic small subunit ribosomal RNA", at positions 11 to 604 of the family's 1831-position model. The record is from RNAcentral. Lineage: Eukaryota; Metazoa; Arthropoda; Insecta; Coleoptera; Ptiliidae.
AUCCUGCCAGUAAUUAUAUGCUUGUCUCAAAGAUUAAGCCAUGCAUGUCUCAGUACAAGCCAAAUUAAGGUGAAACCGCGAAAGGCUCAUUAAAUCAGUUAUGGUUCAUUAGAUCGUACACAUUUACUUGGAUAACUGUGGUAAUUCUAGAGCUAAUACAUGCAAACAGAGCCCCAACCGGAAACGGAAGGGGUGCUUUUAUUAGAUCAAAACCAAUCGGCGGCGCGUUCACGCGCGUCGUCGUCGUAUGUGGUGACUCUGAAUAACUUUUUGCUGAUCGCACGGUCUCGCACCGGCGACGCAUCUUUCAAAUGUCUGCCUUAUCAACUGUCGAUGGUAGGAUCUGCGCCUACCAUGGUUGUAACGGGUAACGGGGAAUCAGGGUUCGAUUCCGGAGAGGGAGCCUGAGAAACGGCUACCACAUCCAAGGAAGGCAGCAGGCGCGCAAAUUACCCACUCCCGGCACGGGGAGGUAGUGACGAAAAAUAACGAUACGGGACUCAUCCGAGGCCCCGUAAUCGGAAUGAGUACAGUCUAAACCUCUUAACGAGGAUCAAUCGGAGGGCAAGUCUGGUGCCAGCAGCCGCGGUAAUUCCAGCUCCGAUAGCGUAUAU